GACGAACCGUGCAACCGUUGUUCGGAAUCACUGGGCUUAAAGGGCGCGUAGGCGGGCGAGCAAGUCCGGGGUGAAAUCUUUCGGCUUAACCGGAAAAGUGCCUUGGAUACUGCUUGUCUGGAGGAAGGUAGGGGCAGGUGGAACUUCUGGUGGAGCGGUGAAAUGCGUUGAUAUCAGAAGGAACGCCGGUGGCGAAAGCGACCUGCUGGACCUUUUCUGACGCUGAGGCGCGAAAGCUAGGGGAGCAAACGGG
RNAcentral lists this ribosomal RNA (253 nucleotides) under uncultured bacterium. Its description in RNAcentral is "partial 16S ribosomal RNA". It matches the Rfam family "Bacterial small subunit ribosomal RNA", at positions 524 to 776 of the family's 1533-position model. The record is from RNAcentral.